Molecule: regulatory RNA element, 117 nt
Rfam family: PyrR binding site
About the family: This family represents the PyrR binding site and terminator structure. This RNA structure is found upstream of a variety of genes involved in pyrimidine biosynthesis and transport. The alignment also includes a portion of the antiterminator structure.
Source: Rfam
AUUGCCUUUAAGACGGUCCAGAGAGGCCGAAAAGGAUGGAUUAAUAAUUUAGUAAUGUUUGUUUAUUAACAUACCCAUGCCCUUUUGUCCUCUUUUGACAGAAGGGCAUUUAUUUUU